UACGUAGGGGACGAGCGUUGUCCGGAAUUACUGGGCGUAAAGGGCGCGUAGGCGGUCAUUUAAGUCAGCUGUGAAAUGGUCCGGCUCAACCGGAUCAUGCGGUUGAAACUGGAUGACUGGAGUGCUGGAGAGGCAAGUGGAAUUCCCAGUGUAGCGGUGAAAUGCGUAGAUAUUGGGAAGAACACCGGUGGCGAAGGCGACUUGCUGGCCAGCAACUGACGCUGAGGCGCGAAAGCCAGGGGAGCAAACGGG
This 252-nucleotide ribosomal RNA is filed under the name uncultured bacterium. Its description in RNAcentral is "partial 16S ribosomal RNA". It matches the Rfam family "Bacterial small subunit ribosomal RNA", at positions 524 to 776 of the family's 1533-position model. The record is from RNAcentral.